RNAcentral lists this ribosomal RNA (254 nucleotides) under uncultured bacterium. RNAcentral describes it as "partial 16S ribosomal RNA". It matches the Rfam family "Bacterial small subunit ribosomal RNA", at positions 524 to 777 of the family's 1533-position model. The record is from RNAcentral.
UACGUAGGGCGCGAGCGUUGUCCGGAAUUAUUGGGCGUAAAGAGCUCGUAGGCGGCCUGUGCGUCCGCUGUGAAAUCCCAGGGCUCAACCCUGGCGUGCAGUGGAUACGGGCAGGCUGGAGGCAGGCAGGGGAGACUGGAAUUCCUGGUGUAGCGGUGGAAUGCGCAGAUAUCAGGAGGAACACCGGUGGCGAAGGCGGGUCUCUGGGCCGUUACUGACGCUGGAGGAGCGGAAAGCGUGGGGAGCGAACACGG